RNAcentral lists this long non-coding RNA (503 nucleotides) under Homo sapiens (human). Its description in RNAcentral is "non-protein coding lnc-MAB21L1-1:1". Lineage: Eukaryota; Metazoa; Chordata; Mammalia; Primates; Hominidae. The record is from RNAcentral.
AUGAAUGUUUGAUGUACUUAUUGUUAAGUAUGCUGUACUGUGUAUUACUGGCAUACUAAAAUUAUCAAGCUUUCAACCCUUACAGAUCAACACAUUGUUAGGUUGAUCAACUCAUUCUAGUUGUUUUCAGUAGUAACCCAUUUGGUUAAAGGAGAUUGAAUAUUUAAAGCCAAAAAUGACUGAGCUAGAAAAUGUUAAUGGAAUCAAUAUUGAAGAAAUGCAAGCAUUAAGAGAUAAUGUUCAUAAUGCUAACAACAUUGAAACUAAGAAAGGCAAAGUAUGACAUUUAUUACUCAGAAACUUAACUACUGAUAUUUAUAACCAAAAAGGAUUCAGAUCCAUUCAUAAGCAGAAAAGGAGUAAUAUAGGACUCCCUUGAAAAUAGCAAUCAAAUAAAAUGUAGCCAUUCUAAGGAAUAAAUAAGAAAGUAGCUGAUUAUUUCACCUGACUUCAAGAAAUGUGUGAAUGUAUUUAUUUAUUUUCCUAGACUUUAUCAAAAUUCU